AGAAUUGAUCUCGGUCAGGACGAACGCUGGCGGCGUGCUUAACACAUGCAAGUCGAGCGAUGAAGCUUCUUCGGAAGUGGAUUAGCGGCGGACGGGUGAGUAACACGUGGGUAACCUGCCUCAUAGAGGGGAAUAGCCUUCCGAAAGGAAGAUUAAUACCGCAUAAGAUUGUAAUAUCGCAUGAUAUAGCAAUUAAAGGAGUAAUCCGCUAUGAGAUGGACCCGCGUCGCAUUAGCUAGUUGGUGAGGUAACGGCUCACCAAGGCGACGAUGCGUAGCCGACCUGAGAGGGUGAUCGGCCACAUUGGGACUGAGACACGGCCCAGACUCCUACGGGAGGCAGCAGUGGGGAAUAUUGCACAAUGGGGGAAACCCUGAUGCAGCAAACCGCCGCGUGAGUGAUGACGGUCUUCGGAUUGUAAAGCUCUGUCUUCAGGGACGAUAAUGACGGUACCUGAGGAGGAAGCCACGGCUAACUACGUGCCAGCAGCUGC
RNAcentral lists this ribosomal RNA (493 nucleotides) under uncultured bacterium. Its description in RNAcentral is "bacterial SSU rRNA". It matches the Rfam family "Bacterial small subunit ribosomal RNA", at positions 9 to 518 of the family's 1533-position model. The record is from RNAcentral.